UUUUGAAAUAAAAAUAAUAUUGCAUAGAAUCAACCAGAAAUGUCAUCACAAAGGUGAGCUCUCAUAAACUGAGGAGGCUCUGACCAAUAGACACAUGAAGCAUUCUGACAUGAAGCUCUUGCAAGAGCAUGAGCUGAUGCGUUUGCUUGCCGUGGGAGCCAGCAAAUUGAUAAAUGAAGACCCUGCGCAAUGAGUUGCCGGCAAUCAUCCAAAAGAACACCAAACUCUGAUAAAUCUUGCUCUGCAGAAUUAACGCUACGAACCAACUCGAUCCACAGUCAACUUCCAGUUGAACAUGAUGGUAUUGCUGAUUACACGACCACAUCAACGCAUGUCUCAGAGCAAUUGCCUCAGCAACCUUCGGUUCCCUCAUCCCUGAAGACCAACCUAAACCAGCAACAAGAAAAUCUCCAUCUGCAUUUCUUAAAACAAAACCAUACCCUGUACAGCAUUUAUCUACAAAUAAAGCACUAUCAACAUUACAUUUCAAGAAACCCACAGCAACCCUAAAAUUUUGUUUCUAAUUUUAACUUCAAUUUGGAAAUCUAUGGAAAUAAUAAUCAAUUAAUUCUUGCUUCUUGCAGGUGUUUUCCUUGUAAAUUUAUAUUCAGCUUGCUCUGCAUAAUGUCUAUCGCUAUUAUCAAUAAAGAAUAUAAUUAUAUUAGGCCUUGGUCAGUAUAAUGGAUUUGCUGAAUGUUGUAGGGAGAGGAAGUAAAGAAUAUGAUAAUAUUUUCUCCUUCAGGUAACAAAUUUUAGAGGAGAAAGGAGAAGAUUCUAGUGCUCCAGCUCGGCUCCUCCUAAGCUUUAAAAAAUUUGUUAGAGGUUUGUUUUCUUGAUCCUGUAAAUAAGGUAGGGUAGAAUAGGAAAUUAUUUUUGUUCUAGAUUAUUCUUUGUAAAUGUAUAUAAAUACAUUAUUCCAUCAAUAAACGAGCAACUUCUUUUGCUCAAAUUUACCAAUUAAUAACUAAAAAUUUUCAUGAUAUCAGAGCACAACCUGUGCUACUGAUAUACUGUUCUUUUCUAUAACAAGUCUUCGUGAAGAUGGAUGAAGUAAUAACAGAAACCACUGCUGCUAUUGGUAACACUUCUGCAACACAUGCUGGUGGUGGUGAGAAUGAUAUCCUCCACUUACAUAACUCUGACCACCAGGGAAUGAUGCUGGUGAGUUUACCACUCACAGGAAAGAACCACCUAUCAUGAAGUAGAUCCAUGGUGCUGGCUUUGAGGGCCAAGGACAAGUUGGGAUUUAUAGAUGGAAGUUAUGAAGCUCCAUGCAACAAAUAUGGAAAAAUGGAGAAAGGUGGAUAGCAUGGUCACAUCCUAAAUUCUAAACUCUCUCUCAAAAGAGCUAGUGGAUGCUUUCAUUUAUGCAACAUCUUCAAAGAACCUGUGGCAAGAGAUCAAAGAAAGAUUUGGAGAGAGCAAUGGACCUCUCCUAUAUCAGCUUAAGAGGGAGAUAAGUACCCUAACUCAAACUAAUACUUCUGUUUUAGUUUGUUUUACUAAACUCAAAAAAUUAUGGGAUGAAUUGGCUUGUCUUAAGCCACUGCUAGUGUGUGAAUGUGGUGUAGCAAAACAGAUGGAUGAAAUUAAUAAUGAGGGCAAGCUAAUGUAGUUUUUAAUGGGGUUGAAUGAAACAUAUGAUCAUGUUAGAAACCUGAUUCUCUUAAUGGAUCCAUUGCCGAGUAUAAACAAGGCAUAUUCUAUAGUGCUUAGGGUGGAAAAACAGAGGGAGGUUCACACUAUUGUAAUUGAGGAAUUCAAUUCAGCAAUGGUUGUCAAAGGGCAAUUUCAGAAAGAUAAAGGUCAGGGAAAGAAAAAGGAGUUUGGAAAAAGGGACACUAGAACAUGUGACCACUAUAAUACAAGUGGACACACUAGAGAUACAUGCUUCAAGCUACAUGGGUAUCCAGAAUGGUUCACUGAAUUGAAACAAAAAAAAGGAAAGGCCAAAGCAAAUUCAGUAGCCAAUGUGUAUGAAGAAAUACCUGAGUAUGAUGGCAAGUCAGAUUAUAAAAAAGAGGCAGCAGGAGUUUAUUGGGCACAUAUGAUUCAGCUGGAGAUUGCCAAAUAUAUGCAGAACCAGAAUCUUGCAACAAAUGAGGCAAGCUGUGUCAAUUACACAGGCUUUGCAGGUAAGAAACCAACUUACUACUCCUUUACCAAACAUGGUGAGAACAAAGGGAUAUGGAUAGUAGACUUAGGAGCCUCCACAAAUAUGUGUCAUGAUUUUUAACUUUUUCAAAACCCCAGAAAUUUGAAUGACCAAUGUUUUGUUACCCUGCCUGAUGGAAGUACCAAACCUGGGGCUCACAAGGCCAGAUCUUUCUGACGCCACACAAAAAUUGAGCCAAUUUAUGCAAGUUCCUCGCAAGCCACAUUGGGAUGCUGCCAUACAUGUCCUUAAGUACCUCAAAGGAUCUCCUUCCAAAAGCUUAUUCUUCCCACAAGAUAAUGAUUUAAGGCUCCAAGCAUUUUGUGAUGCAAAUUGGGCAUCUUGUCCCAUGAGUCGAAAGUCCAUUACUAGGUUUUGCAUCUUCUUGGGACCAUCAUUGGUAUCCUAGAAAGCAAAGAAACAGACCACUGUCAGUAGAUCCUCAGCCGAAGCUGAAUACAGAAGCAUAGCAGCAACAGUCUGUGAGCUAAAAUGGAUUAGUUAUCUUCUUACUGAUUUUGGCUUGAAACUAUCUCUUCCUAUUGCCUUACACUGUGAUAACAAGGAGGCAGAGCACAUUGCAAACCCGAUCUUUCACGAGAGGACAAAACAUCUUGAAAUAGAUUGUCAUGUAGUUCGUGACAAGAUAAACCAUGGGUUCAUCACCACCAUACAUGUGCCUUCUAGACACCAGCUCGCUGAUCUAUUUACAAAACCUCUCACCUCUGUCUUGUUCAAUGAACACCUCUUCAAGAUGGGACUUCGUGAUGUACACGAGUCUCCAUCUUG
Molecule: unclassified non-coding RNA, 2944 nt
Filed under: Hevea brasiliensis (rubber tree)
Lineage: Eukaryota; Viridiplantae; Streptophyta; Magnoliopsida; Malpighiales; Euphorbiaceae
Source: RNAcentral